UGGGGAAUUUUGCGCAAUGGACGAAAGUCUGACGCAGCAACGCCGCGUGGGUGAUGAAGGUCUUCGGAUUGUAAAACCCUGUCGCCAGGGACGAAGGGGAUGAGGUUAAUAGCCUUGUUCUUUGACGGUACCUGGAAAGGAAGCCCCGGCUAACUCUGUGCCAGCAGCCGCGGUAAUACAGAGGGGGCAAGCGUUAUUCGGAAUUAUUGGGCGUAAAGGGCGCGUAGGCGGUUUUUUAAGUCGGAUGUGCAAUCCCUGGGCUCAACCCAGGAACUGCAUCCGAGACUGGAAGGCUAGAGUACUGGAGAGGGUGGUGGAAUUCCUCGUGUAGCGGUGAAAUGCGUAGAGAUGAGGAGGAACACCAGUGGCGAAGGCGGCCACCUGGACAGUAACUGACGCUGAGGCGCGAAAGCGUGGGUAGCAAACA
This 427-nucleotide ribosomal RNA is filed under the name uncultured bacterium. RNAcentral describes it as "bacterial SSU rRNA". It matches the Rfam family "Bacterial small subunit ribosomal RNA", at positions 355 to 774 of the family's 1533-position model. The record is from RNAcentral.